This 717-nucleotide unclassified non-coding RNA is filed under the name Apis florea (little honeybee). RNAcentral's name for it is "putative tyramine receptor 2, transcript variant X3". Lineage: Eukaryota; Metazoa; Arthropoda; Insecta; Hymenoptera; Apidae. The record is from RNAcentral.
GGAAAGAGUGGAGAGCAGUGGAUGCAGGCCUGUGAGAGGAAUAAGGACGAGGAGGGGUGUGCGCGAGAAGGGGGGUAAUACGUGUGAGAGUACCCUGAAGAGUGGCAUCGGUAGUACGGGUGGUGGGAGGAGGGGAAGCGCGAGGGGCAAGAGGCGACCGUUCACGUCUUUUCGACGUCGACGCAACCCCGUUGGCGCAGAAUAGCUGCUCAGUGCUCGUCGAACGGCGCUGUGUUGCGACGGGACCAUGCCGCCGCGCCCUGCACCACCGAUCAACCGAUCUCAGACGACAUAGUCCACGAUAGGAAUUGAUGAUCCGCUCUGGCUCGACAACCCGUCAAAAUUGAUCGAUCGAAGGAUCGAUUACCGGAAACAGACGACCAAAAAUGUGACGCUCGGUGUGCGCUCGACGGCUCGGGGCUCGAACAGAGAAGACUGGACGACUAUUGGGAGCGUGACGUUGGAUUGACGAGAUAAAAGUGAAGAAAAUCGUAGAGAUAGGUAAAAAAUUGUUGCCCAGGAAGUGGAAACGAAUGGCGCUAAAUGAGGAUAGACCGGAAUGGAAGAGAUCCGAUUACGUCGUGCGGGAUUAUCCGUUGGAGAACAAAUUCACGGCGAUGUAUUCCGCUAUGAUGGAUGCAGGAUUUCUUGCAAACGUAGAACAAGCGGUGAAGAAGGUCCGGAAAGUGAACCGCGCUCACGAGUUUUCGCUUUUAU